RNAcentral lists this long non-coding RNA (2624 nucleotides) under Homo sapiens (human). RNAcentral's name for it is "HSALNT0116495". Lineage: Eukaryota; Metazoa; Chordata; Mammalia; Primates; Hominidae. The record is from RNAcentral.
AGAGGUUGUCCCGCAGAGCCCCCAGAAUGGACCAACCCUAUGACACUCGGUUUUGGACUUCCUGCCUCCAGAGCUGUGAUAGAAUGUGGUUUUAAGCCACCCACCCUGUGGUCUUCUGUUUCCGCAGCCCUAAUGCAAGUCUUUUGUGUAGUCCUCUCUCACAUGGGGCAGGGCUGGCCUGGGCAAACAGUAGCAUAUUGUGGAACGACAGCAUGUGACUUCCAUCCUGACCCCUCCUGGAUCACCCUCUGUAGAGGGGAAUGGCUGCUGUGUCAUGGGGGUGCAUGAGCAGCCCAGUGGAGAGGUGCACUUGGUGAGAAACCGAUGCCUCUGCCAACCACCUGCACUAACCUGCUGGGUCUGAGACUGAGCCACUUUGGAAGCUGAUCUUGGAGCACCAGUCAAGCCCUUAGCUGGCUGCAGCCACAGCCAACAACAAGACUGCAACCUCCUGGGGGAUCCUGAGCCAGAAUCCCCUGGCUAAAUUGCUCCUUGAUUCUUAACCCACAGAAAUUGUGUAAGGCUUAACACCAUGCAGAAGCUGCCAAGGCUUAUGGUUUGCACACUCUGGAGCAGUGGCCCUAGCUGUACCUGGGCUCCAGUUAGCCAAGGCUGAAGCUGGAACACCCUGUAUGUCAGGAGCAAUGUCCCAAGGCUGCACAGACAGAGUGUGGCAAUGAUGACUGCUCUCAUCUUCUUGAAAUGCUUUCCAGCCUGGAUUUCAUGAUACUUCUAACCCACUACAUUCAAAACUGGACCACACUUCACCUCCUGCAGCAACAGCCUCUAACUCAAAUCCUAGCCUCAGAUUUCAUCAUCCCCAAUUUAUUAUCCAUGCUGAAAAGUCACCUUUCUAUACCAUUCUGUCAUGUCAUUCUCUUCCUUAAAAAGCAGUUUCCUUGCAUAAAAAAAGUAAUUAAACUCAGAGUCAAAAGCCCAUGCUUGCCAGGCGCUGUGGCUCAUGACUGUAAUCCCAGCACUUUGGGAGGCCAAGGCGGGUGGAUCACGAGGUCAGGAGUUCAAGACCAGCCUGGUGAACAUGGUGAAACCCCGUCUCUACUGAAAAUACAAAAAUUAGCUGGGCAUGGUGGUGUGUUCCUAUAAUCCCAGCUACUCGGAAGGCUAAGGCAGAAUUGCUUGAACGAGGACCCAGGAGGCAGAGGUUGCAGUGAGCUGAGAUGGCACCACUGCACUCUGCCCUGGGCUACAGAGUGAGACUCUGUCUCCAAAAAAAACAAACAACAAACAAAGCCCCUGCUUAAAUUUAUAAACACUUAUUAAAUUUCCACACACAUUGUGCAUUCCAGCUCUGUAUAUCUUUUGCAUAUAGGCCUUCAAUGCAUCAUUGUCUCCUCCUGGGACACUCUUACUGCUCAAAUAAUUUGGUUCAGUUCUACCCAUUUUCUUAGAUGAGGCAUCACUUCCUCCAGUAGCUAUUCCAGAUUCUCCAAAACACGUUCACUUGGAAUUUUUUAAUUCCAGAGCACCUGCCUUUACUUAUGAUAAUGUAAACCAAAAUUAAAAUUCUAAGGCCCUGGUCAGGCACAGUGGCUCACACCUGCAAUCCCAGCACUUUGGGAGGCCAAGGUGGGCAGCUCAUGAAGUCAGGAGUUUGAGACAAGCCUGGCCAACAUAGUGAAACCCCAUAAAAAAAGAAUACAAAAAUUGGCCAGGCGUGGUGGCAUACACCUGUGGUCCCAGCAACUUGGGAGGCUGAAGCAAGAGAAUCGUGUGAACCCGGGAGGCGGACGUUGCAGUGAGCUGAGAUUGCACCACUGCACUCCAGCCUGGGCGACAGAGCAAAACUCCAUCUCAAAAAAAAAAAAAAAAAAAAAAAAGUCAAAGGCCCACACAACCAUCUGAAUGGACUUUCUCAGCCAGGACACUUAAAAUUUAACCUGAGAGACUGGUUCAGGCCAUGAUGGGAAGGGGGGUCGGACAGGCCUCAUUAUACAUCUCCAGUACUAACAUCAACACAGAUUUUAAGUCUGAUUAGAAUCACUUUACAACCUAUUAUCUCUGAGGCCUGCUACCUGAAUGAAGUCUUCCUCAGCAAAUAAGAACUUUGGUCUUCACAACCUCUUAUCUGAACCGAGACAUUUCUUUCUUUUGAUUCCAGGUCUUUAGAUAAACUUAACCAAUUGUCAACCAGAAAAAUUUUAAAUCUACCUGUGAGCUGGAACCCCCCCCCGCCACCCCCCCCCCCCAUUUCACAUUGUCCCACCUUUCUGGACCAAUUCAAUGUAUUUCUUAAAAUUAGUUGAUUAAAAUCUCAUGUCUCCCUAAGAUGUAUAAAAGCAAGCUCUGCCCGACCACCUUGGGCACAUGUUCUCGGGACCUCCUGAGGGCUGUGUCGCUGGCCAUGGUCACUCAUAUUUGGCUCAGAAUAAAUCUCUUCAAAUAUUUUACAGAGUUUGACUCUUUUCAUCAAGAGUAGCACAAUUUCACGUUACAAUUUCUCCUUUCUUGUCUGCAUUUCUUACUUCAUUACAAGUUCCUUAAGAGAAAAUGUACACCUUUUUUACUAUUUUAUGUGCAGUGCCCAGGGCAGUGCCUGGAUAAAAGAGAUGUUUAUUCAAUAUCUACUGAGUUAAUUAAUUAACUCUUUCCUGCCAUUGAAACAG